Molecule: long non-coding RNA, 286 nt
Filed under: Solanum tuberosum (potato)
Lineage: Eukaryota; Viridiplantae; Streptophyta; Magnoliopsida; Solanales; Solanaceae
Description: long non-coding RNA (STUB_LNC006682)
Source: RNAcentral
CGCUUAUUUUGUUGUUUGGUUGGCAAGUUCGGGAUAACUUAUCCCGGGAUUAAUAAUUAGUACCGGGAUAAGUUAUCCCUCUAUUUGGGUGGUAUAGUAAUCCCGGGAUAAAAUAGGUAAAUGACAAAAAUGUCUCUUUCAACCCUUUUGUUAUAUCACUUUUUACAUUAAUGAAGGGCAUUUUUGUAAACAAAUAAAUUGUUCUUAAAAUUUAUUAUUUUGAACACAACAAACCAAACACUCAAUAAAAAAUAAUCCCAACACAACUUAUCCCAUCAUACCUAAU